RNAcentral lists this ribosomal RNA (479 nucleotides) under Fusarium verticillioides. RNAcentral describes it as "eukaryotic LSU rRNA". The stretch from base 119 to 272 matches the Rfam family "5.8S ribosomal RNA". The record is from RNAcentral. Lineage: Eukaryota; Fungi; Ascomycota; Sordariomycetes; Hypocreales; Nectriaceae.
CAUACCAAUUGUUGCCUCGGCGGAUCAGCCCGCUCCCGGUAAAACGGGACGGCCCGCCAGAGGACCCCUAAACUCUGUUUCUAUAUGUAACUUCUGAGUAAAACCAUAAAUAAAUCAAAACUUUCAACAACGGAUCUCUUGGUUCUGGCAUCGAUGAAGAACGCAGCAAAAUGCGAUAAGUAAUGUGAAUUGCAGAAUUCAGUGAAUCAUCGAAUCUUUGAACGCACAUUGCGCCCGCCAGUAUUCUGGCGGGCAUGCCUGUUCGAGCGUCAUUUCAACCCUCAAGCCCAGCUUGGUGUUGGGACUCGCGAGUCAAAUCGCGUUCCCCAAAUUGAUUGGCGGUCACGUCGAGCUUCCAUAGCGUAGUAGUAAAACCCUCGUUACUGGUAAUCGUCGCGGCCACGCCGUUAAACCCCAACUUCUGAAUGUUGACCUCGGAUCAGGUAGGAAUACCCGCUGAACUUAAGCAUAUCAAUAAG